Molecule: long non-coding RNA, 298 nt
Organism: Phacochoerus africanus (Common warthog)
Lineage: Eukaryota; Metazoa; Chordata; Mammalia; Artiodactyla; Suidae
Exons: 3
Source: RefSeq, a predicted model, not a curated record
UUUGAAGCAGCCCACAGGGAAGGGUGUCACUGAGGAAACAAAACCCAGACCCCCCAGGCCUCUGGCUGAGGGGUGGGAGCAUGCUGGGAAAGCACUUCCACCUGAGAAGCACAAAGGACCCCAGGAGGAGAGGAAGCUGGCCUGAGGCCAACCGGAGCUUUGUGCACUGAUUCCCUGAUCCUCCAGCCUGACAGAAAUGUUUGCAAAGGAGCCUUAUUUGAAUAGGCAGCAUACGGCAUGGAGUAAAACACCCAAGAUGGUGCUCAAUGGACUAUGAUGACCUUGGAAGGGCCUAGGC